CUUUUCUUUUCUUUUCUUUUCUUUUUUUCUCUCUUAUUCUUUUCCUUAUUAAAAAAGAAUAAGAUACAAGAAACGCAGGGCGAAACUGAGUGGUGAAGCAAGCGGGUAGCUUUGCAUGCCACGCCUUCGGGCUCAUGGCGAGCCAACGGCAGCUGGCCAGCUGGCAGAUGAUGAGGCAUGCCGAGCUGAGUCCUGGUCGAUUCAAUCAUCGUUCUCGUCAUUUCGCUGUCAGGGUAUCAAUAUGGGAUCAGGCAGGAAAGUUAGUGGCUAUCUGAUCUCAUCAAUUAAAUAGACGGAACUCCGGAAUCGAAACGGGGCUGUUGGCUAGUAGCUGUUGGCUGCCUUUUUUAAAUUACUAUCUUCGAAGGAUUCAGUUUCUUUGCUAUUUUUUUUAUAGGGGUUGCAGAUUGGACUUAGCGAAAAAGACAUUUGGCUGCUGGUUUGGGCAAGAAUGAUGUGUAAAGCACAAAAAAUGGGUGUUGAGUGACGUUGCUUGAUUGUGGUGGGACAAAUCCAAAUCCAUCCGCGAUUCAUAGCCCGUUUUGACUGGCUGCAAAUGUAUUCUUAUAUAGACUGGCUCCCUGGUAUUCAGUAGGUAUUUCAAAAAGACAGAAUACUAGUACUUAUUCUAUGAUAGUUACCUUUUUCCAGCCUUCUUUAGAACCAGUUCCUAUCGUCUAAAAACUCACCCUCCUCGUCUAUCUAUAUCCUGGAACAAAAACUUGUAUCUAUCUGAAUGCUCCAGCAAGCCACUACCUAAGUGAUUAGCUAGUUCUCGUUUCCCCCCGCCUUGUCUUUUUCUCUUUUUGAUAUUGUCGAAAUCACAAACAAUGGCACACGAAGAGCGUAUUCCCCAUAGUAGAAAUGAGCAGGAUUGGAGAUGGGCCAUAAUCAUAAACCAUAACCACACUGUUCCUUCUACUCAGCUGCAUGACGGCUUGCCGGGCGUGUUCGGAGCGCAUCUCAGCUGAAUUCUACGUUCCCGCAAAGGCAAAAAAAAAGACAAAAGAAAAAACAAA
Molecule: small RNA, 1019 nt
Filed under: Histoplasma capsulatum var. duboisii H88
Lineage: Eukaryota; Fungi; Ascomycota; Eurotiomycetes; Onygenales; Ajellomycetaceae
Description: Histoplasma capsulatum H88 hypothetical RNA
Source: RNAcentral